RNAcentral lists this ribosomal RNA (199 nucleotides) under uncultured bacterium. RNAcentral's name for it is "partial 16S ribosomal RNA". The record is from RNAcentral.
UUCAAUAACUUCUAAUGAAUGCUCUAUUUUCGAGGCUUUCCCACCUUUUUGGAGGAAUGCGGGCUCGGGACGCUAACCCUGAGUAACGCCUAUGACUGUACCGGCGCGACCGUCAUGAGCGGGGAAAUUUUGAAGCUCGCCAGCUAUGAUCUCCUAGAUAGCCACUUUCGGGGUGACGAUCAAACAGCCUGGCACUGAG